UCGAGUGCGCGUACCGUAGCAAUACGGUAUGGCGCACGGCGCACGGGUGCGUAACACGUGGGCAAUCUGCCCUUCGAUGGGGAAUAACCUCGCGAAAGCGAGGCUAAUUCCGCAUAACAUUCCUUGGACCUCGGUUCGAGGACUCAAAGCCGUAAGGCGUCGAAGGAGGAGCCCGCGCACGAUUAGCUAGUUGGUAGGGUAACGGCCUACCAAGGCCUUGAUCGUUAGCUGGUCUGAGAGGAUGGCCAGCCACACUGGAACUGAGACACGGUCCAGACUCCUACGGGAGGCAGCAGUGGGGAAUCCUGCACAAUGGGCGAAAGCCUGAUGCAGCGACGCCGCGUGGGGGAUGAAGCAUCUCGGUGUGUAAACCCCUUUCGACCCGGACGAAUGCCUCGCAAGAGGAGUGACGGUACGGGUAUAAGAAGCCCCGGCUAACUACGUGCCAGCAGCCGCGGUAAGACGUAGGGGGCCAGCGUUGUUCGGAAUUACUGGGUGUAAAGGGUUCGUAGGCGGUGUGGCAAGUUGGGAGUGAAAUCUCUGGGCUCAACCCAGAGGCUGCUUCCAAAACUGCCGUGCUU
This 581-nucleotide ribosomal RNA is filed under the name uncultured bacterium. RNAcentral describes it as "bacterial SSU rRNA". It matches the Rfam family "Bacterial small subunit ribosomal RNA", at positions 62 to 643 of the family's 1533-position model. The record is from RNAcentral.